UACAGAGGGUGCGAGCGUUAAUCGGAAUUACUGGGCGUAAAGCGCGCGUAGGCGGCUUUGCAAGUCGAGUGUGAAAUCCCCAGGCUUAACCUGGGAACUGCAUUCGAGACUGCAUAGCUAGAGUAUGGGAGAGGGAAGUGGAAUUUCAGGUGUAGCGGUGAAAUGCGUAGAUAUCUGAAGGAACAUCAGUGGCGAAAGCGACUUCCUGGACCAAUACUGACGCUCAUGCGCGAAAGCGUGGGGAGCAAACAGG
Molecule: ribosomal RNA, 253 nt
Filed under: uncultured bacterium
Lineage: Bacteria
Description: partial 16S ribosomal RNA
Rfam family: Bacterial small subunit ribosomal RNA
Source: RNAcentral